GACAGAGGGUGCAAACGUUGUUCGGAAUUACUGGGCGUAAAGCGCACGUAGGCGGCUUCUUAAGUCGGUGGUGAAAUCCUGGAGCUCAACUCCAGAACUGCCUUCGAUACUGGGAAGCUUGAGUCCGGGAGAGGUGAGUGGAACUGCGAGUGUAGAGGUGAAAUUCGUAGAUAUUCGCAAGAACACCAGUGGCGAAGGCGGCUCACUGGCCCGGUACUGACGCUGAGGUGCGAAAGCGUGGGGAGCAAACAGG
RNAcentral lists this ribosomal RNA (253 nucleotides) under uncultured bacterium. RNAcentral's name for it is "partial 16S ribosomal RNA". It matches the Rfam family "Bacterial small subunit ribosomal RNA", at positions 524 to 776 of the family's 1533-position model. The record is from RNAcentral.